AACGAACGCUGGCGGCAUGCCUAACACAUGCAAGUCGAACGAGCCCUUCGGGUCUUGUGGCGCACGGGUGCGUAACGCGUGGGAACCUGCCCUUAGGUUCGGAAUAACUCCCCGAAAGGGGUGCUAAUACCGGAUAAUGUCUUCUGACCAAAGAUUUAUCGCCUUUGGAUGGGCCCGCGUUGGAUUAGCUAGUUGGUAGGGUAAUAGCCUACUAAGGCGCCGAUCCAGAGCUGGUCUGAGAGGAUGAUCAGCCACACUGGGACUGAGACACGGCCCAGACUCCUACGGGAGGCGGGAGUGGGGAAUAUAGGAAAGGGGGCGGAAGCCUGAUCGUGCAAUGCCGCGUGAGUGAUGAAGGCCUUAGGGUUGUAAAGCUCUUUUACCCGGGAUGAUAAUGACAGUACCGGGAGAAUAAGCUCCGGCUAACUCCGUG
This 433-nucleotide ribosomal RNA is filed under the name uncultured bacterium. RNAcentral describes it as "partial 16S ribosomal RNA". It matches the Rfam family "Bacterial small subunit ribosomal RNA", at positions 29 to 507 of the family's 1533-position model. The record is from RNAcentral.